This 1638-nucleotide long non-coding RNA is filed under the name Pongo abelii (Sumatran orangutan). Its description in RNAcentral is "lincRNA". The record is from RNAcentral. Lineage: Eukaryota; Metazoa; Chordata; Mammalia; Primates; Hominidae.
CUCUUUCUGCCGUGUGAGGAUAAGAAGUCAGCAGUCUGCAACCCAGAAGAGGGCCCUAACCAGAAAGCUAUUGUGGCCCUGAUCUGACGUCCAGCCUCCAGAACUAUAAGAAGUCAAUGUCUGUUGUUUACAAGCCACUGUCUUGACUUUUGUUACAGGAGCCCAAAUUAACUAAGACAGCCCUAUCUGAGGCUGGGCACAGUGGCUCAUGCCUGUAAUCCCAGCACUUUGGGAGGCUGAGGCAGACGGAUCACAAGGUCAGGAGUUUGAGACCAGCCUGGCCAACAUGGUGAAACCCCAUCUCUACUAAAAAUACAAAAACUAGCCAGGCAAGGUGGUGCAUGCCUGUAAUCCCAGCUACUCAGGAGGCUGAGUCAGGAUAAUUGCUUGAACCUGGGAAGCAGAGGCUACAGUGAGCCAAGACUGAGACACUGCACUCCAGCCUGGGCAACAGAGCAAGACUCCAUCUCAAAAAAAAAAAAAAAAAAAAAAAAAAGACAACCCCAUCUGGAGAAAACUAAAAAGGCUCAGUCUUUCCCCUGGGCCCAGAAUGCCCUUCUUCCCCCUGCCCUAGGAAAGCCCAGUCACCUCUGAGGAGGCAGCAACAUCCUGGCUCCUCCCACUUGCUUUCAGUGCAUCCCCACAUCCAUUCUCUCAUGGAACCCUGUGCACAUCUCUAUCUGAGCACCCGUAAGACUGUGUUCCGCUAGCUCAUGUGUUCAUCAUCUCCGUGUUGACUGUAAACUUCACUUUGUACCCUGUCCCCCAGAAUCCAGCACCUAAUCUGGCACACUGAAUGAAUGAAUGAGUGAAUCAAAGAAUGAGUGGGCAAGUAUUGAUCCCAAGCACAUUCCUCGUAAAUCUCCUGCAUACAAAUCUCCAUCUCAGAGCUAGCUUCUGGGAACCCUCAUGCUACAAGUCAUUAGGAACAUGGAUUUUGGACACUUCUAACAAGCCUGAGUUUUAGUCCUGGCUCUUGUACUUACUUGUACUGUGACUAGAGAAAAAUUACCUAACUUCUCAGGGGCUUCAUCUGCAAUAGAAAUGAAUUCAUUGAGUCAUGGGAGUUCAAUGAAAUGUUGUUUGAAGCACAUUUAGCACAGCACCUGGUACACUGAUAAGUGCUCACUAAAGGAUUAUUUGUAUCAUCAUCAAUAUUGCAUGGCCCUAGGCACAUGGCAAGGCUAUGGAACACACAGAAGCCAACUAGAUUGGCUACAAGGCCAGCCUCAAAAGAGGAAGAAACAGAUGUAUAUAAAAAAAUACAAAUGUGGCACCCGAGGCUCAGAGAGAGGUUCAGCAACUUACCCAGCAACACCCGGUCCACAAGUGAAACACCCCUUCAUUUCAGAAGUGAAUACUCCAGAGGGUCUCACUCUGUCACCCAGGCUGAAGUGCAGUGACAGGACCACUGCUCAUUGCAGCUUUGACCUCCUGGGCUAAGCCUCCAGAUUAACUGGGUCUCACUCUGUCACCAAGGCUGGAGUUCAGUGGCACGAUCUCAGCUCACUACAACAUACUCUGCCACUGGGAUUCCAACAAUUAUCCUGCCUCAGCCUCCCGAGUAGCUGAGAUUACAGGUGCACACCACCACAUCCGGCUAAUUUUUGUAUUUUUAGUAAAGAUGAGGUUACACCA